Molecule: ribosomal RNA, 527 nt
Filed under: uncultured bacterium
Lineage: Bacteria
Description: partial 16S ribosomal RNA
Rfam family: Bacterial small subunit ribosomal RNA
Source: RNAcentral
UGGGGAAUUUUGGACAAUGGGGGCAACCGUGAUCCAGCAAUGCCGCGUGUGUGAAGAAGGCCUUCGGGUUGUAAAGCACUUUUGUCCGGAAAGAAAACGUCGUGGUUAAUACCCGUGGCGGCUGACGGUACCGGAAGAAUAAGCACCGGCUAACUACGUGCCAGCAGCCGCGGUAAUACGUAGGGUGCAAGCGUUAAUCGGAAUUACUGGGCGUAAAGCGUGCGCAGGCGGUCCGCUAAGACAGAUGUGAAAUCCCCGGGCUUAACCUGGGAACUGCAUUUGUGACUGGCGGGCUAGAGUAUGGCAGAGGGGGGUAGAAUUCCACGUGUAGCAGUGAAAUGCGUAGAGAUGUGGAGGAAUACCGAUGGCGAAGGCAGCCCCCUGGGCCAAUACUGACGCUCAUGCACGAAAGCGUGGGGGAGCAAACAGGAUUAGAUACCCUGGUAGUCCACGCCCUAAACGAUGUCAACUAGUUGUCGGGUCUUCAUUGACUUGGUAACGUAGCUAACGCGUGAAGUUGACCGCCU